CAUGCUGGGUCUCCCAUAUACAUGCAUGGUUGAUAUGUGGUCCCUGGGUUGCCUGGCAGCAGAAUUGUUAAUUGGUGCCCCACUUUAUCCCGGCUACACAGAAUAUGACAUGUGGGCAUACAUCUUACAAACCCAUGGUGAGCUUCCUGAUGCAAUGCUGAACCAAGGCAUCAAAACCCCUUUGUGUUUCACCAAAGGACCGGUCUGGAGACGCAAGACACGACGGGAGAAGGAGGAGGGUAUGAGGAGCAAAGGGCUCCAGCGGCGCCGGCCCAGGCCGUUCCUCUUCACCUCCCUGGAGGACGUGG
Molecule: long non-coding RNA, 308 nt
Organism: Gadus macrocephalus (Pacific cod)
Lineage: Eukaryota; Metazoa; Chordata; Actinopteri; Gadiformes; Gadidae
Exons: 3
Source: RefSeq, a predicted model, not a curated record